Molecule: ribosomal RNA, 426 nt
Filed under: uncultured bacterium
Lineage: Bacteria
Description: partial 16S ribosomal RNA
Rfam family: Bacterial small subunit ribosomal RNA
Source: RNAcentral
GUGAGGAAUUUUCCGCAAUGGGCGAAAGCCUGACGGAGCAAUGCCGCGUGAAGGAUGAAGGCCUAUGGGUUGUAAACUUCUUUUCUCAGAAAAGAAUUAUGACGGUAUCUGAGGAAUAAGCAUCGGCUAACUCUGUGCCAGCAGCCGCGGUAAGACAGAGGAUGCAAGCGUUAUCCGGAAUGAUUGGGCGUAAAGCGUCUGUAGGUUGUUUAAAAAGUAUUCUGUCAAAGAUUAGGGCUUAACCCUAGAUAGGCAGAAUAAACUUUUAAGCUAGAGUUUGGUAGAGGCAGAGGGAAUUCCCGGUGGAGCGGUGAAAUGCGUAGAUAUCGGGAGGAACACCAAAGGCGAAGACACUCUGCUGGGCCAAUACUAACACUGAGAGACGAAAGCGAGGGGAGCAAAUGGGAUUAGAUACCCGGGUAGUCC